This 497-nucleotide ribosomal RNA is filed under the name uncultured bacterium. RNAcentral describes it as "partial 16S ribosomal RNA". It matches the Rfam family "Bacterial small subunit ribosomal RNA", at positions 28 to 507 of the family's 1533-position model. The record is from RNAcentral.
GAUGAACGCUGGCGGCGUGCCUAAUACAUGCAAGUCGAGCGAACGGACGAGAGGCUUGCUUCUCUGAUGUUAGCGGCGGACGGGUGAGUAACACGUGGAUAACCUACCUAUAAGACUGGGAUAACUUCGGGAAACCGGAGCUAAUACCGGAUAAUAUUUUGAACCGCAUGGUUCAAAAGUGAAAGACGGUCUUGCUGUCACUUAUAGAUGGAUCCGCGCUGCAUUAGCUAGUUGGUAAGGUAACGGCUUACCAAGGCAACGAUGCAUAGCCGACCUGAGAGGGUGAUCGGCCACACUGGAACUGAGGCACGGUCCAGACUCCUACGGGAGGCAGCAGUAGGGAAUCUUCCGCAAUGGGCGAAAGCCUGACGGAGCAACGCCGCGUGAGUGAUGAAGGUCUUCGGAUCGUAAAACUCUGUUAUUAGGGAAGAACAUAUGUGUAAGUAACUGUGCACAUCUUGACGGUACCUAAUCAGAAAGCCACGGCUAACUACGUG